GCCGAUGUGGUGGAACUGGUAGACACGCAUGCUUCAGGUGCAUGUGCUCGCAAGAGUGUGUGGGUUCAAGUCCCACCAUCGGUACAA
RNAcentral lists this transfer RNA (87 nucleotides) under Candidatus Magasanikbacteria bacterium CG11_big_fil_rev_8_21_14_0_20_39_34. Its description in RNAcentral is "tRNA-Leu". It matches the Rfam family "tRNA". From Rfam's summary of the family: Transfer RNA (tRNA) molecules are approximately 80 nucleotides in length. Lineage: Bacteria; Candidatus Magasanikiibacteriota. The record is from RNAcentral.